This 114-nucleotide ribosomal RNA is filed under the name Acanthosepion pharaonis. Lineage: Eukaryota; Metazoa; Mollusca; Cephalopoda; Sepiida; Sepiidae. The record is from RNAcentral.
UUGUGGUCAUAUCACGUUGAAACUCUGGUUCACAUACAAUCACCAAAGUUAAGCAAUGUCGAGCCUGGUCAGUACCUAGAUGGGUGACUGCUUGGGAAUAUCAGGUGCUGUAAG